GACGAACGCUGGCGGCGUGCCUAAUACAUGCAAGUAGAACGCUGAAGGAGGAGCUUGCUUCUCUGGAUGAGUUGCGAACGGGUGAGUAACGCGUAGGUAACCUGCCUGGUAGCGGGGGAUAACUAUUGGAAACGAUAGCUAAUACCGCAUAAGAGUAGAUGUUGCAUGACAUUUGCUUAAAAGGUGCAAUUGCAUCACUACCAGAUGGACCUGCGUUGUAUUAGCUAGUUGGUGAGGUAACGGCUCACCAAGGCAACGAUACAUAGCCGACCUGAGAGGGUGAUCGGCCAAACUGGGACUGGGACACGGCCCAGACUCCUACGGGAGGCAGCAGUAGGGAAUCUUCGGCAAUGGACGGAAGUCUGACCGAGCAACGCCGCGUGAGUGAAGAAGGUUUUCGGAUCGUAAAGCUCUGUUGUAAGAGAAGAACGAGUGUGAGAGUGGAAAGUUCACAAUGUGACGGUAUCUUACCAGAAAGGGACGGCUAACUACGUG
RNAcentral lists this ribosomal RNA (495 nucleotides) under uncultured bacterium. RNAcentral describes it as "partial 16S ribosomal RNA". It matches the Rfam family "Bacterial small subunit ribosomal RNA", at positions 28 to 507 of the family's 1533-position model. The record is from RNAcentral.